CCUACGGGGGGCAGCAGUAGGGAAUAUUGCUCAAUGGGGGAAACCCUGAAGCAGCAACGCCGCGUGGAGGAUGAAGGUUUUCGGAUUGUAAACUCCUUUUGUUAGAGAAGAUAAUGACGGUAUCUAACGAAUAAGCACCGGCUAACUCCGUGCCAGCAGCCGCGGUAAUACGGCGGGUGCAAGCGUUACUCGGAAUCACUGGGCGUAAAGAGCGCGUAGGCGGGAUAGCAAGUCAGAUGUGAAAUCCUAUGGCUUAACCAUAGAACUGCAUUUGAAACUGUUAUUCUAGAGUAUGGGAGAGGUAGGUGGAAUGCUUGGUGUAGGGGUAAAAUGCGUAGAGAUCAAGAGGAAUACUCAUUGCGAAGGCGACCUGCUAGAACAUAACUGACGCUGAUGCGCGAAAGCGUGGGGAGCAAACAGGAGUAGAUACCCGAGUAGUC
RNAcentral lists this ribosomal RNA (440 nucleotides) under uncultured bacterium. Its description in RNAcentral is "partial 16S ribosomal RNA". It matches the Rfam family "Bacterial small subunit ribosomal RNA", at positions 338 to 795 of the family's 1533-position model. The record is from RNAcentral.